UACGUAGGGGGCAAGCGUUGUCCGGAAUCAUUGGGCGUAAAGCGCGUGUAGGCGGCUCGGUAAGUCUGCUGUGAAAGUCCAGGGCUCAACCCUGGGAUGCCGAUCGAUACUGUCGGACUAGAGUUCGGAAGAGGCGAGUGGAAUUCCCGGUGUAGCGGUGAAAUGCGCAGAUAUCGGGAGGAACACCAAUGGCGAAGGCAGCUCGCUGGGACGUUACUGACGCUGAGACGCGAAAGCGUGGGGAGCAAACAGG
RNAcentral lists this ribosomal RNA (253 nucleotides) under uncultured bacterium. RNAcentral's name for it is "partial 16S ribosomal RNA". It matches the Rfam family "Bacterial small subunit ribosomal RNA", at positions 524 to 776 of the family's 1533-position model. The record is from RNAcentral.